This 1136-nucleotide long non-coding RNA is filed under the name Vigna radiata. Its description in RNAcentral is "long non-coding RNA (VRAD_LNC010974)". The record is from RNAcentral. Lineage: Eukaryota; Viridiplantae; Streptophyta; Magnoliopsida; Fabales; Fabaceae.
GAGAACGGUGGUGGUAGGAGGUCAGGAAAAUGACUUCGAAAAAUUUCAGGAAGUCAGGAAAAUGACUCCUGGCUUGAGGCGAUCGGUCAGGAAAAUGACCUUGAUGGUGGGGAGAAUGGUGGUGGUAGGAGGUCAGGAAAAUGACUUCGAACAAUUCUAGGAAGUCAGGAAAAUGACUCCUUGCUCGAGGCGAUCGGUCAGGAAAAUGACCUUGAUGGUGGGGAGAACGAUGGUGGUAGGAAGUUAGGAAAAUGACUUCGAAACGAUUGCUAGUCGAAAAUUAGGUAAGUUAAUACGCGCGGAAAACAAUAAAAGUACCGAUCGAUUCAUAUACGCGAUAUAAGCAGAAUGCAAAAGGGAAAGUUCAAAAGGUUAUUACAGUACGAAGUAGGGGCACGUUACAAACAAAACAUAAAGGGCUAAUCUAAGCAGCAACAUUGGAAGUAGUGGACUCCGGGGCAACGACCGGGACACCAGAUGGGAUUGCCUCGCCGGUACUAGCAGGGGGCUCCUCGUCGGCAGUUGGCAGUUGGGCCGAAAGAUCGAUCAGUUGACCAUCCACGAAGACUUUCAUGAUGCUGAACCCAUCGUGUUCCAGGGGGGUGCUGAAGAAAUAAUGGCACUGGGCAAUUCCUUGCUCAAAGCCUGUCUGUCGCUCGUUGCAUAUCUCAUCGUUCAGGGAGGCGUUCUCAGUUGCCAGCUUCUCUCGUUCUGCAACAACCGCAUCUUUCUCUUUAAGGAGUUGUUCAUUCUGAGACGUCUCCUUUUGUAGGUCAAGCUUCAGGGUGUUGAUAGAACGCUUGAGCCGGUCGAAUUCUUUCUGGGCGACUGUUUGGGAAGCAACGACUUUGGCCCGCUUGUCCUCGGCAGAAUUAGAUUUCUUCGAUGCGAGUAGUAAGGGUGGUGUUCUCCUUUUGGGCCUUCUCUAAAUCUUGUUGAGCGGUUUCCAACUCGGACACUAAGAGAGGUUUCGUGGUUCCGACAAAGUAGUUCAUACAGAUGCUCGCCCGAGCUAUGAGCUCAUAUGCCAUGUUGAGCAAUUCAGAAGGGGUCAUUUCCUUGAAGGGUUUCUUCUCUUCUGCAUUCAGGUUGAAUUGGAGGCGAUCCGCGACGUGCACGUUUGGAUCGAGGGGGCC